UCACUUUCAACAACGGAUCUCUUGGCUCUCGCAUCGAUGAAGAACGUAUCGAAGUGCGAUAAGUAGUGUGAAUUGCAGAAUUCCGUGAAUCAUCGAAUUUUUGAACGCAAAUUGCACUCCCUGGUAUUCCGGGGAGUAUGCCUGUUUGAGGGUCAGUC
This 158-nucleotide ribosomal RNA is filed under the name uncultured fungus. Its description in RNAcentral is "5.8S ribosomal RNA". It matches the Rfam family "5.8S ribosomal RNA". Rfam says of the family: 5.8S ribosomal RNA (5.8S rRNA) is a component of the large subunit of the eukaryotic ribosome. It is transcribed by RNA polymerase I as part of the 45S precursor that also contains 18S and 28S rRNA. Lineage: Eukaryota; Fungi. The record is from RNAcentral.